GAUGAACGCUGGCGGCGUGCCUAAUACAUGCAAGUCGAGCGAAUGGAUUAAGAGCUUGCUCUUAUGAAGUUAGCGGCGGACGGGUGAGUAACACGUGGGUAACCUGCCCAUAAGACUGGGAUAACUCCGGGAAACCGGGGCUAAUACCGGAUAACAUUUUGAACCGCAUGGUUCGAAAUUGAAAGGCGGCUUCGGCUGUCACUUAUGGAUGGACCCGCGUCGCAUUAGCUAGUUGGUGAGGUAACGGCUCACCAAGGCAACGAUGCGUAGCCGACCUGAGAGAGUGAUCGGCCACACUGGGACUGGGACACGGCCCAGACUCCCACGGGAGGCAGCAGUAGGGAAUCUUCCGCAAUGGACGAAAGUCUGACGGAGCAACGCCGCGUGAGUGAUGAAGGCUUUCGGGUCGUAAAACUCUGUUGUUAGGGAAGAACAAGUGCUAGUUGAAUAAGCUGGCACCUUGACGGUACCUAACCAGAAAGCCACGGCUAACUACGUGCCAGCCGCCGCGGUAA
This 515-nucleotide ribosomal RNA is filed under the name uncultured bacterium. RNAcentral's name for it is "partial 16S ribosomal RNA". It matches the Rfam family "Bacterial small subunit ribosomal RNA", at positions 28 to 523 of the family's 1533-position model. The record is from RNAcentral.